Molecule: ribosomal RNA, 1482 nt
Filed under: uncultured Bordetella sp.
Lineage: Bacteria; Pseudomonadati; Pseudomonadota; Betaproteobacteria; Burkholderiales; Alcaligenaceae
Description: partial 16S-23S ribosomal RNA intergenic spacer
Rfam family: Bacterial small subunit ribosomal RNA
Source: RNAcentral
GGUUCGAUUAUGGCUCAGAUUGAACGCUGGCGGAUGUUUACACAUGCAAGUCGAACGGCAGCACGGACUUCGGUCUGGUGGCGAGUGGCGAACGGGUGAGUAAUGUAUCGGAACGUGUCUAGUAGCGGGGAUAACUACGCGAAAGCGUAGCCAAUACCGCAUACGCCCUUCGGGGGAAAGCGGGGGGACCUUCGGGCCUCGCACUAUUAGAGCGGCCGAUAUCGGAUUAGCUAGUUGGUGGGGUAACGGCUCACCAAGGCGACGAUCCGUAGCUGGUUUGAGAGGACGACCAGCCACACUGGGACUGAGACACGGCCCAGACUCCUACGGAGGCAGCAGUGGGGAAUUUUGGACAAUGGGGGAAACCCUGAUCCAGCCAUCCCGCGUGUGCGAUGAAGGCCUUCGGGUUGUAAAGCACUUUUGGCAGGAAGAAACGGCACGGAUAAUACCCGUGCAACUGACGGUACCUGCAGAAUAAGCACCGGCUAACUACGUGCCAGCAGCCGUGGUAAUACGUAGGGUGCAAGCGUUAAUCGGAAUUACUGGGCGUAAAGCGUAUGGCAGGCGGUUCGGAAAGAAAGAUGUGAAAUCCCAGAGCUUAACUUUGGAACUGCAUUUUUAACUACCGAGCUAGAGUGUGUCAGAGGGGAGGUGGAAUUCCGCGUGUAGCAGUGAAAUGCGUAGAUAUGCGGAGGAACACCGAUGGCGAAGGCAGCCUCCUGGGAUAACACUGACGCUCAUGCACGAAAGCGUGGGGAGCAAACAGGAUUAGAUACCCUGGUAGUCCACGCCCUAAACGAUGUCAACUAGCUGUUGGGGCCUUCGGGCCUUGGUAGCGCAGCUAACGCGUGAAGUUGACCGCCUGGGAGUACGGUCGCAAGAUUAAAACUCAAAGGAAUUGGACGGGGACCCCGCACAAGCGGUGGAUGAUGUGGAUUAAUUGAUGCAACGCGAAAAACCUUACCUACCCUUGACAUGUCUGGAAUCCCGAAGAGAUUUGGGAGUGCUCGCAAGAGAACCGGAACACAGGUGCUGCGUAUGGCUGUCGUCAGCUCGUGUCGUGAGAUGUUGGGUUAAGUCCCGCAACGAGCGCAACCCUUGUCAUUAGUUGCUACGAAAGGGCACUCUAAUGAGACUGCCGGUGACAAACCGGAGGAAGGUGGGGAUGACGUCAAGUCCUCAUGGCCCUUAUGGGUAGGGCUUCACACGUCAUACAAUGGUCGGGACAGGUCGCCAACCCGCGAGGGGGAGCCAAUCCCAGAAACCCGAUCGUAGUCCGGAUCGCAGUCUGCAACUCGACUGCGUGAAGUCGGAAUCGCUAGUAAUCGCGGAUCAGCAUGUCGCGGUGAAUACGUUCCCGGGUCUUGUACACACCGCCCGUCACACCAUGGAGUGGGUUUUACCAGAAGUAGUUAGCCUAACCGUAAGGAGGGCGAUUACCACGGUAGGAUUCAUGACUGGGGUGAAGUCGUAACAAGGUAA